Molecule: non-coding RNA, 74 nt
Organism: Cryptosporidium ubiquitum
Lineage: Eukaryota; Apicomplexa; Conoidasida; Eucoccidiorida; Cryptosporidiidae
Source: Rfam
GCACCCAUAGCUCAGCUGGUUAGAGCAUACGGCUAAUAACCGUAAGGUCCGCGGUUCGAUCCCGCGUGGGUGCA